GCUGGGCAUGGUGGCUCAUGCCUGUAAUUCUAGGAGUUUAGGAGGCUGAGGCAGGAGGAUUGCUUGAGCCCAGGAGGUUGAGGCUGCAGUGAGCUAUAAUCACACACUGCACUCUAGCCUGGGCAACAGAGCAAGACCCUGUCUCAA
Molecule: signal recognition particle RNA, 147 nt
Filed under: Pongo abelii (Sumatran orangutan)
Lineage: Eukaryota; Metazoa; Chordata; Mammalia; Primates; Hominidae
Description: Metazoan signal recognition particle RNA (ENSPPYG00000039245.1)
Rfam family: Metazoan signal recognition particle RNA
About the family: The signal recognition particle (SRP) is a universally conserved ribonucleoprotein. It is involved in the co-translational targeting of proteins to membranes. The eukaryotic SRP consists of a 300-nucleotide 7S RNA and six proteins: SRPs 72, 68, 54, 19, 14, and 9.
Source: Rfam by way of RNAcentral